UGGGGAAUUUUGGACAAUGGGCGCAAGCCUGAUCCAGCCAUGCCGCGUGCGGGAAGAAGGCCUUCGGGUUGUAAACCGCUUUUGUCAGGGAAGAAAUCUUCUGAGUUAAUACCUCGGGAGGAUGACGGUACCUGAAGAAUAAGCACCGGCUAACUACGUGCCAGCAGCCACGGUAAUACGUAGGGUGCAAGCGUUAAUCGGAAUUACUGGGCGUAAAGCGUGCGCAGGCGGUUUUGUAAGACAGAGGUGAAAUCCCCGGGCUCAACCUGGGAACUGCCUUUGUGACUGCAAGGCUUGAGUGCGGCAGAGGGGGAUGGAAUUCCGCGUGUAGCAGUGAAAUGCGUAGAUAUGCGGAGGAAACACCGAUGGCGAAGGCAAUCCCCUGGGCCUGCACUGACGCUCAUGCACGAAAGCGUGGGGAGCAAACAGGAUUAGAUAGCCCUGGUAGUCCACGCCCUAAACGAUGUCAACUGGUUGUUGGGAAGGUUCCUUCUCAGUAACGUAGCUAACGCGUGAAGUUGACCGCCUGGGGAGUACGGCCGCAAGGUU
This 549-nucleotide ribosomal RNA is filed under the name uncultured bacterium. Its description in RNAcentral is "partial 16S ribosomal RNA". It matches the Rfam family "Bacterial small subunit ribosomal RNA", at positions 355 to 895 of the family's 1533-position model. The record is from RNAcentral.